RNAcentral lists this ribosomal RNA (429 nucleotides) under Acidobacteriota bacterium. RNAcentral's name for it is "Acidobacteria bacterium partial 16S ribosomal RNA". It matches the Rfam family "Bacterial small subunit ribosomal RNA", at positions 355 to 776 of the family's 1533-position model. Lineage: Bacteria; Pseudomonadati; Acidobacteriota. The record is from RNAcentral.
UGGGGAAUUUUGGACAAUGGGGGAAACCCUGAUCCAGCCAUCCCGCGUGUGCGAUGAAGGCCUUCGGGUUGUAAAGCACUUUUGGCAGGAAAGAAACGUCAUGGGUUAAUACCCCGUGAAACUGACGGUACCUGCAGAAUAAGCACCGGCUAACUACGUGCCAGCAGCCGCGGUAAUACGUAGGGUGCAAGCGUUAAUCGGAAUUACUGGGCGUAAAGCGUGCGCAGGCGGUUCGGAAAGAAAGAUGUGAAAUCCCAGAGCUCAACUUUGGAACGGCAUUUUAAACUACCGGGCUAGAGUGUGUCAUAGGGAGGUGGAAUUCCGCGUGUAGCAGUGAAAUGCGUAGAUAUGGGGAGGAACACCGAUGGCGAAGGCAGCCUCCUGGGAUAACACUGACGCUCAUGCACGAAAGCGUGGGGAGCAAACAGG